RNAcentral lists this ribosomal RNA (376 nucleotides) under uncultured bacterium. Its description in RNAcentral is "bacterial SSU rRNA". It matches the Rfam family "Bacterial small subunit ribosomal RNA", at positions 524 to 898 of the family's 1533-position model. The record is from RNAcentral.
UACGUAGGGGGCGAGCGUUGUCCGGAAUGAUUGGGCGUAAAGGGUGCGUAGGCGGCGAUACAAGUCAGAAGUGGAAGUCCUGUUUUCAAGGCAGGAAUUGCUUUUGAAACUGUAUGGCUUGAGUGCAGGAGAGGUUAUCGGAAUUCCCGGUGUAGCGGUGAAAUGCGUAGAGAUCGGGAGGAACACCAGUGGCGAAGGCGGGUAACUGGACUGCAACUGACGCUGAGGCACGAAAGUGUGGGGAGCAAACAGGAUUAGAUACCCUGGUAGUCCACACCAUAAACGAUGAAUGCUAGGUGCAGGGGGUAUCGACCCCUUCUGUGCCGGAGUAAACACAAUAAGCAUUCCGCCUGGGGAGUACGGUCGCAAGAUUAAA